CCUUGCCAAGUACCUGGCAGAGCACAGUGCAGGCUUUGUGAGAGCCGGGGGGGGUGCAGCAAGGCUGCUCUUAGAGGGUACCAGCUGCCAGCCUAUUACUGGGAAAGAAAUAGCAGGGGGGGGCACGACCUCCACAUGUCAGAGAGCAUGCAGAGAAGAUUUAAUAGAAAGAUUUGGAGGGGGUGGGGGUUAGGUAUUUUAACCAUUACGUUUGGUUACAAAAAAAAAAUCGGGGCUACUUUCUGCUUCCUGCUUCAUCCCAAAGGUGUUUGAGGACUUUCUGAUGGUAAUAUCGAGUGCAGCAUGUUCGGACGAGCUGCUCCUAUUUCUACAUGGUGAUCAACUAUUGGAAUUCAGUGGGAAAUGGAUAAUUGAACAUUUCAACAUUUGAGGGUUUAAGAAGUUUCGGAGAAAUGAUCGAUACUUCCCAAAUGAUAAUGCUAACAUUAUAUCACGUGGAUAUUGGAGGCUGACUCACUAAUAAUGGAAGGAAGAAUUAAUGUCAACAAUUAGACAUCACCUCGAACUGCAUCCAGUUAAUGGUGCUGGACUUAUUCAGGUGCUGCCAGACCUGCUGAAUUUUCCCAGCAAUUCCUGUUUUUGUUUCUGAUUUUCAAUAUCUGCAGUUCUUUCCUUUGUGUUUUUCACACAUAACAGGAUCUAGGGCUUUGCAGGAAGGUAACAAACAAGGAAAAGGAUGUUCACAUUCUGAAAUUAAUAAAAUCAAUGCUGAAUCCUGAAGCCUGUAUGGUUUGCUGACAACACCAUUGUAGUGGGACGGAUUUCUAACAACGAUGAGUCAAAAUACAGAAGGGAGAUAGAGGGCUUGGUGACAUGGUGUAACGAAAAUCAUCUCUCUCUCAAUGUCAGCAAAACUGAAGAAUAGAUCAUUAACUUUGGAAAGAAAGGAGGCGAACACACCCCCAUCUACAUCAACAGAACUGAGUUUGAGAGGGUGAAGAGCAUCAAGUUCCUCAAAGUGACAAUAACCUACGUCCUGUCAUGGACUUCCCAUGUAGAUGCGACAGUCAAGGAGGCACAAUAACACCACUUCUUCCUCAGGCAGUUCAGGAAAUUUGGCAUGUCCAUAAGGUCCCUCACCAACUUCUACAGAUGCAUUAUUGAAAGCAUACUGUCUAGCUGUACAAUGGCCUGGUAUAGCAACUGCUCUGCUCAGGACCAAGAAACUGCAGAAGGUUGUGUGCACAGCCUGGACCAUCACAGAAGCCAACCUUCCAUCCAUGAACUCUAUUUACAUGGCUCACUGCCACAGAAAGUUGGCCAACAUCAAAGACCCAUCGCACCCUGGUAAUGAUCUCCUACAACCUCUUCCAUCAGGCAGAAGAUCCAGAAGCCAAAACACACACACAAGCAGGUUCAGGAACAGCUUUUUCAUGGCUGUUAUCAGAUUGCUAAAUGGACUCUAACCUCAAAUAAUGUAACCUGCAAGCUUCUAAGGCUUUUUGAUCUGCAUAGCCUUUGCUUGCUGCGAUCUGCCUGCAUCACUCGUAAACAAAAAACUUUUCACUGUAUUUCGGUAUAUGUGACAAUAAAAUCAAUCACAAUUA
Long non-coding RNA from Rhincodon typus (whale shark), 1568 nucleotides. RefSeq lists it as uncharacterized. The record is from RefSeq and is a predicted model, not a curated record. Lineage: Eukaryota; Metazoa; Chordata; Chondrichthyes; Orectolobiformes; Rhincodontidae. The transcript has 3 exons.